GCUUCCCUGGGGAUGGGGGAGGGGGCUUCUCUCAUAUUCCCUGGUUACCUAGCAACUUGUCUCCUUGCAGACAAGUCACCGCCCCUGCAGAGAUGCUGGCUAAUGUGCACACAACAAAGGGAAAGUGACACCACCACUCCAGUUCCCCCCUUGGAAGGCCUCCCUGUUCAUUAGCACUGUGAUAAGUGGCUUGCUAUGGGCAGGCCCUCCCCUGACACCCCUCCCACCUCCGGAUUAAGCCAGCCACACUGCUCCUCCUGGGGAUCUUGGAGAGAUGGCAGCUUGUCAAGCUCCUGAGACACUGGGCAUCCUAGACACACGCGACAGCCUCCAAAAUGGGAGAAGACACCUUCUCCAGGAAAUGUCCCAAGCUCUGCAUAUGGUCCAGAAGCCCACCCUUAAAGCAGCCACUGACAAGGAAAAUGGGAUUAUCCGGAUUGGCUCAAGGAAAUCCUCAUUUACCCCUGGAUGGAAACUAAAGUGACCAACACAGAGCAUGAGAGGUACCUUCACGUGAAGGAGUGUGGACAACAACCACAAACUCAGAGCUCCUGCUGUUAUCACUAAGGCAGUCAACAGUGUCUACUACAAGUGACAUCAAGUAAUAUUUAUCAUCACCAAAUAGCAUUUAUCAACGCUAGUAGAGUUCUCAUCUCAAUUUAGAAAAAUCCAAAAUCAAAGUAGACUAUAGAUAAGGUAAAUGGGGAUGUCUAUCACAGUGAUGACAGUUUUACAGUUUUUCCCAAACUCUUUUUAUUUUGAGAGCUCGGUUGGAGUUAUCAAAACAUCCAAGUUGUCCCAAUCAUUUCAAAACUUUUAAAAACAUUAUUUAUGAAUGUUCUCUUUGGGACGUGGCUUUUUUUUUUAACAAUGAAAAAGGGCAGAAGUAGUAAAAUAUGCUAAGAAAUGUGUAGUAACCAAAGAGAUAUGUUAUCCUUCCUAAGAGACAGGGUUUUAUGGGAUUCCUGAUUCUUUUUUGUAUCUGAUUGUUGAGGUCUUGACAGCUUUUCAAUUGAGGAAUACAGUCAUGUCUGUUAAACUAAUUGUAGCUGUUCACUCCACUAUAUAAUUUUACAACAUUUCAGCUUCAAAUAGAAUAGCUUCAAUAAACAUAAAGCCGACUGACA
This 1127-nucleotide long non-coding RNA is filed under the name Vulpes vulpes (red fox). RNAcentral's name for it is "lncRNA (ENSVVUG00000021433.1)". Lineage: Eukaryota; Metazoa; Chordata; Mammalia; Carnivora; Canidae. The record is from RNAcentral.